AAAUUGAAGAGUUUGAUCAUGGCUCAGAUUGAACGCUGGCGGCAGGCCUAACACAUGCAAGUCGAACGGUAGCACAGAGAGCUUGCUCUCGGGUGACGAGUGGCGGACGGGUGAGUAAUGUCUGGGAAACUGCCUGAUGGAGGGGGAUAACUACUGGAAACGGUGGCUAAUACCGCAUAACGUCGCAAGACCAAAGAGGGGGACCUUCGGGCCUCUUGCCAUCAGAUGUGCCCAGAUGGGAUUAGCUAGUUGGUGAGGUAACGGCUCACCAAGGCGACGAUCCCUAGCUGGUCUGAGAGGAUGACCAGCCACACUGGAACUGAGACACGGUCCAGACUCCUACGGGAGGCAGCAGUGGGGAAUAUUGCACAAUGGGCGCAAGCCUGAUGCAGCCAUGCCGCGUGUAUGAAGAAGGCCUUCGGGUUGUAAAGUACUUUCAGCGGGGAGGAAGGUGUUGUGGUUAAUAACCUCAGCAAUUGACGUUACCCGCAGAAGAAGCACCGGCUAACUCCGUGCCAGCAGCCGCGGUAAUACGGAGGGUGCAAGCGUUAAUCGGAAUUACUGGGCGUAAAGCGCACGCAGGCGGUCUGUCAAGUCGGAUGUGAAAUCCCCGGGCUCAACCUGGGAACUGCAUUCGAAACUGGCAGGCUUGAGUCUUGUAGAGGGGGGUAGAAUUCCAGGUGUAGCGGUGAAAUGCGUAGAGAUCUGGAGGAAUACCGGUGGCGAAGGCGGCCCCCUGGACAAAGACUGACGCUCAGGUGCGAAAGCGUGGGGAGCAAACAGGAUUAGAUACCCUGGUAGUCCACGCCGUAAACGAUGUCUACUUGGAGGUUGUGCCCUUGAGGCGUGGCUUCCGGAGCUAACGCGUUAAGUAGACCGCCUGGGGAGUACGGCCGCAAGGUUAAAACUCAAAUGAAUUGACGGGGGCCCGCACAAGCGGUGGAGCAUGUGGUUUAAUUCGAUGCAACGCGAAGAACCUUACCUGGUCUUGACAUCCACAGAAGAAUCCAGAGAUGGAUUUGUGCCUUCGGGAACUGUGAGACAGGUGCUGCAUGGCUGUCGUCAGCUCGUGUUGUGAAAUGUUGGGUUAAGUCCCGCAACGAGCGCAACCCUUAUCCUUUGUUGCCAGCGGUCCGGCCGGGAACUCAAAGGAGACUGCCAGUGAUAAACUGGAGGAAGGUGGGGAUGACGUCAAGUCAUCAUGGCCCUUACGACCAGGGCUACACACGUGCUACAAUGGCGCAUACAAAGAGAAGCGACCUCGCGAGAGCAAGCGGACCUCAUAAAGUGCGUCGUAGUCCGGAUUGGAGUCUGCAACUCGACUCCAUGAAGUCGGAAUCGCUAGUAAUCGUGGAUCAGAAUGCCACGGUGAAUACGUUCCCGGGCCUUGUACACACCGCCCGUCACACCAUGGGAGUGGGUUGCAAAAGAAGUAGGUAGCUUAACCUUCGGGAGGGCGCUUACCACUUUGUGAUUCAUGACUGGGGUGAAGUCGUAACAAGGUAACCGUAGGGGAACCUGCGGUUGGAUCACCUCCUUA
This 1540-nucleotide ribosomal RNA is filed under the name Salmonella enterica subsp. enterica serovar Infantis. Its description in RNAcentral is "bacterial SSU rRNA". It matches the Rfam family "Bacterial small subunit ribosomal RNA". Lineage: Bacteria; Pseudomonadati; Pseudomonadota; Gammaproteobacteria; Enterobacterales; Enterobacteriaceae. The record is from RNAcentral.